This 216-nucleotide non-coding RNA is filed under the name Viridibacillus arenosi. RNAcentral describes it as "T-box sequence". It matches the Rfam family "T-box leader". Rfam says of the family: Uncharged tRNA acts as the effector for transcription antitermination of genes in the T-box leader family. T-boxes are found upstream of many aminoacyl-tRNA synthetase genes and some amino acid biosynthetic genes usually in Gram-positive bacteria. The record is from RNAcentral. Lineage: Bacteria; Bacillati; Bacillota; Bacilli; Caryophanales; Caryophanaceae.
AACAAGACUAUGAUAAGGAAUAGUAAAUUUAUUUGAUUUUCAAGAGAGCUAGCGGGUGGUGUGAGCUAGUAAAUGGAUAAAUUGAACUCGCCUUGGAGUCUGCAAUGGUGAAUACAAGUGUAACCAAAGCCGUUUUCCGCGUUAAGGAGUCAAGUUGAGUGUAAUACACUAAUUUGGGUGGUACCGCGGGAACCUUUUUAAGCUCUCGUCCCUUUU